Molecule: unclassified non-coding RNA, 600 nt
Filed under: Hevea brasiliensis (rubber tree)
Lineage: Eukaryota; Viridiplantae; Streptophyta; Magnoliopsida; Malpighiales; Euphorbiaceae
Source: RNAcentral
UGAUGAAGAAGCUGCUUUAAAUAAGUGUAUCACUGCUGUAUUCCACGUUGGUAAAAUUAGGGAAGAAAUGGAAAACGGUUCAACUUUAGGAAAUCAACAAGGUUCCGCAUUUGUGGAUGAGUUACAAGUGCAGGAAAAUGUCCUCCAGCAAUGUUUGGGGAAGCUUGAAAGUGCUGAAGCAACCAGGGCUAUGUUGAUUUCCCAGCUUAAAGAGGCUCUUCAGGACCAAGAAUCAAAGCUGGAUGCUAUUCGUUCUCAGUUAGAAGUUGCUCGACGCCAAAUUGAGCAAGCAGUCAAUCUGAGAAAUAGGUUGACAUCUCCCAUUGUUCCUGGCCCCACCACUUCCAUACCAAUGCCAGAUGCUGCCAAGGUUAUUGAGCACAAUACACCUCCUGUUCAGCCAACUAGCACUCCACCUCAGCCUACCCUUGGACAACCUGUGGUUUCUUUUGCACCAAUGAAAACUACAGAUGAGGAGAACAAGAAAGCAGCAGCAGCAGCUGUUGCUGCUAAGCUUGCUGCCUCUACAUCCUCAGCACAAAUGCUUACGUCUGUUCUUUCGUCUCUUGUUGCUGAGGAAGCUGCCUCCAUGAAUGGUGG